GGAGUUGGGCUUAACGCUUUAUAAAGCUGCUCUGUCCGCGGCGAGCCACUCUUCUAAAGACCACCGUGCCCGAAACUUCACUUUCCAACAAGACACGCAGUGAGAGCAGGGAGGGAAACUUCUGCAUUACUGUCCAUCAUGAGCGAGAGACAAACAUCUGGAGCUGCUGCUGGCAACAAUAAGACUUCUGGAGGACAAGGGGAAACAAACUGUUGGUGCGGGGAAGAGGAGCUUGGAGUUUACAGUAUAGGAUGGUUUUAGAAGACAGAUGACAGUAGAUGGACAGCAACAAGGAGAGAAGGACAUGCAGAAAGACACAAAUUCACCUCAGGCUUUCCAUCAGAUGCGCUCUUACAAGAGUUCAGGGAAUGAUGUCAUCAUAUAUGACAUGGAGAACAUUUGAUAAAUGUCAGAGAUUAUGUGAUUUUUAUCAAAUUAUUCCUCAUGUGAUAUCCUUUAAGAUCAUCCCACCUGAUCUUGAGAUCUGCAGUUGCUCAUUAUUCAAAACAAUUUAAUAAUCUCU
Molecule: long non-coding RNA, 523 nt
Organism: Oreochromis aureus
Lineage: Eukaryota; Metazoa; Chordata; Actinopteri; Cichliformes; Cichlidae
Source: Ensembl